UUGCAACAGCUGGAUGUUUUUACCUAAAUUGCCUUGGUGUAUAGAAAAAGGGAAUGACUGUACAUGGAAUAGAUAAGUAACUCAUGUAUCCAGGACAGACAUGCCAGACCUCCUUGGGAAGAUAUUGAUCUGUGUCUCAUCUUCAGGAACAGAGAGAUUCUGACUGGAUUUACAUUGCUAACUUGUGCAAGUCCUCCCAAAUGUGCACAACACUGCUGUCUGAGUCUGCAGGAGCCACUAUUCAGAGAUGUACAGAGGCUUCCAUGAAAUACACAACCCUCUGCUGAAGAAACCGCUUCAGACCGAGGGUGAAAGAACUGAUGGCAGCACCAAUAAGAAACUCCAGUAGAGACUGAGGGAGUGAGACAGUGCAGAGACACCAAAGGAGCUUCUGUGAGAAACAAAAAUAUCAGCAUUAUUGCCUGUCAUCAGAACCCCAGUGUAAAAUUCAGAGAGAAAAAACGCAACUGGAGAAAGUAUGUCCAAACAUGAGAACUCUUUCUGUGUUUAACAGUGAAGCAGCAGAUAUUUUAGACUCCAUCGUCAAAAGCUGCAUGAAAAAUCAUUUCAAAGCUGCUCUGAGGUGGGAUGGAUGAUUCUCGACUUU
Molecule: long non-coding RNA, 607 nt
Filed under: Meleagris gallopavo (turkey)
Lineage: Eukaryota; Metazoa; Chordata; Aves; Galliformes; Phasianidae
Description: lncRNA (ENSMGAG00000017549.1)
Source: RNAcentral